This is a non-coding RNA of Acanthosepion pharaonis, 108 nucleotides long. Lineage: Eukaryota; Metazoa; Mollusca; Cephalopoda; Sepiida; Sepiidae. The record is from the annotation of a GenBank genome assembly.
CCACAUCACGUUGAAACACCAGUUUUCGUACAAUCACCGAAGUUAAGCAACAUUAAGCCUGGUCAAUACCUAAAUGGGUGACUUCUUGGGAAUACCACGUACUGUAAG